This 628-nucleotide ribosomal RNA is filed under the name Leucosporidium sp. RNAcentral describes it as "LSU rRNA". It matches the Rfam family "Eukaryotic large subunit ribosomal RNA", at positions 37 to 662 of the family's 3401-position model. Lineage: Eukaryota; Fungi; Basidiomycota; Microbotryomycetes; Leucosporidiales; Leucosporidiaceae. The record is from RNAcentral.
UGCAUAUCAAUAAGCGGAGGAAAAGAAACUAACAAGGAUUCCCCUAGUAACGGCGAGUGAAGCGGGAAGAGCUCAAAUUUGUAAUCUGGCACUUUCAGUGUCCGAGUUGUAAUCUCGAGAAGUAUUUUCCGCGCCGGACCGCAUACAAGUCUGUUGGAAUACAGCGUCAUAGUGGUGAGAACCCCGUAACUGAUGCGGAUGCCCGGUGCUUUGUGAUAUACUUUCGAAGAGUCGAGUUGUUUGGGAAUGCAGCUCAAAUUGGGUGGUAAAUUCCAUCUAAAGCUAAAUAUUGGAGCAAGACCGAUAGCGAACAAGUACCGUGAGGGAAAGAUGAAAAGCACUUUGGAAAGAGAGUUAACAGUACGUGAAAUUGUUGGAAGGGAAACGCUUGAAGUCAGACUUGCUAUUCGGAGUUCAGCCGCAAGGUGUAUUCUUCGAUUUGCAGGCCAGCAUCAGUUUUUGGGGGUGGAAAAUCGUGGUUUGAAGGUAGCAGUUUCGGCUGUGUUAUAGCUUUCCACUGGAUUCAUCUUCGGGGACUGAGGAACGCAGUACGCUUUUUGCAAGGCUUUCGAGCUUUUCGUACUUAGGAUGCUGGUGGAAUGGCUUUAAACGACCCGUCUUGAAACAC